Molecule: long non-coding RNA, 611 nt
Organism: Musca domestica (house fly)
Lineage: Eukaryota; Metazoa; Arthropoda; Insecta; Diptera; Muscidae
Exons: 3
Source: RefSeq, a predicted model, not a curated record
AGCAUGGAUCGAAGGUAUUCCAAAAUAAGAGAUAAGAAAUAAGAGACUACUAUAAAAGCGAAUACGAUUUCAUUCAAAUAACAUAAUUUUGAGAUCAUUCAACGGAGUAAAAAUGAAAUUCAUUGCUGUUUUCGUAUUUUUACUGGUGGCCCAGUGCUAUGGCCGUUCAGUUUAUGAAGAUUCCGAGGAAGUAGGAUUGUCUGAGGAUCAUUUGCAUUCCCUUGUCGUUCAAAACGGGAAAUUGCAAACGGAGCUAGAGCCAUUGGAGAAGACACUCUCAAAACGUUCCACCCGCGAUGAUAUUGAAAUUAUCAUAAUAAAAGCAGCGGACAAGCAAAUGUAGGCAACGGAUGCAUAAAGAUAUAAAGAUUUAAAGAUGGAUAUUUUGGGCCGUAAAUGUGCCAGAUUUAGAGAGCAUUGAUAAAUAUCAAAUCAAAGGAUUUCUUUUGUUCAGUGGCAUAUAAUGGAAUAUCAUGGUGGAAUAUGUUCAUCAAUUGAAAACAUGUAUUUAAAAAUUGUAGUAUUGUAGGAUAAUUUGUUAAUUGUUUUAAAUAGAAUACAAAAUUUAACCCAAAAAAUAAAAUUAAAUUAAAACAAUUUCAUAAAAAAAA